RNAcentral lists this ribosomal RNA (468 nucleotides) under uncultured bacterium. RNAcentral's name for it is "partial 16S ribosomal RNA". It matches the Rfam family "Bacterial small subunit ribosomal RNA", at positions 28 to 507 of the family's 1533-position model. The record is from RNAcentral.
GACGAACGCUGGCGGCGUGCUUAACACAUGCAAGUCGAACGGAAAGGCCCUGCUUUUGUGGGGUGCUCGAGUGGCGCGCGGGUGAGUAACACGUGAGUAACCUGCCCUUGUCUUUGGGAUAACUCUAGGAAACUGGGGCUAAUACCGGAUAGGAGCUCCUGCUGCAUGGUGGGGGUUGGAAAGUUUCGGCGGUUUUGGAUGGACUCGCGGCUUCUCAGCCUGUUGGUGGGGUAGUGGCUUACCAGGGCUUUGACGGGUAGCCGGCCUUAGAGGGUGACCGGCCACAAGGGUACUGAGAGACGGCCCAGACGCCUACGGGAGGCAGCAGUGGGGAAUAUUGCACAACAGGCGGAAGCCUGAUGCAGCAACGCCGCGUGCGGGAUGACGGCCUUCGGGUGGUAAACCGCUUUCGCCUGUGACGAAGCGUGAGUGACGGUAACUGGUAAAGAAGCACCGGCUAACUACGUG